RNAcentral lists this long non-coding RNA (567 nucleotides) under Ricinus communis (castor bean). RNAcentral describes it as "long non-coding RNA (RCOM_LNC003830)". Lineage: Eukaryota; Viridiplantae; Streptophyta; Magnoliopsida; Malpighiales; Euphorbiaceae. The record is from RNAcentral.
CUCAUGGCUUGUCUCUUAGAUUUUUUUCUUUUUUUUUUUUGUUUUUUUUUUUUUUUUCCUUUUCUUGCUGCUCUGAGUUUCUGAAUAUAGUGGAUGUGUGUUCUUUUGCUAUAAUUUCUCUGACCAAAGAUGGGUCUAGCUUUUCUUUGUCACAUUCCUCUUGUUUCUGGUUAUAUAGUACAUGCAAUUAUCUUUCAUUUUUUUGGUUUUUUUUUUUUUUUUUUUUUCGUUUUUCUGUUUAUGAUGUUGAAGGGGGUUUUUAAUGAUAUACUGACUGUGAUCGGAUAUUUAGGAAAAAGGUUGGCCUCUGGGUUUGCACCCCCUGAAUAUGAAAGUUGGGUUACCUAAAAAUGGUGAUUUUUCUGGAUCAGUAUCAUUCAACACUUUACUCACUGGUUCUCCUACUUCCUCAACAAAUUCCUCUUCAUCAAAUUUAAACACUGAGGUCAGUAAAAUAUGGCAAAAACUUUGAUGUAAAAAAAAUAAGCAUAUAUGUGUAUAUAUAAAUAUAUAUAUAACCUUCAACAUUAAUCUUUAGGUGGGUUCACUUUAGGAUUUUCAGUUUCC